This 75-nucleotide transfer RNA is filed under the name bacterium. Its description in RNAcentral is "tRNA-Gly". It matches the Rfam family "tRNA". From Rfam's summary of the family: Transfer RNA (tRNA) molecules are approximately 80 nucleotides in length. Their secondary structure includes four short double-helical elements and three loops (D, anti-codon, and T loops). The record is from RNAcentral.
GCGCGAGUAGUUCAGCGGUAGAAUGCUUCCUUGCCAAGGAAGAGGUCGCCAGUUCGAAUCUGGUCUCGCGCUCCA